CCGCUCUUGCAAUUUAAGGAUGUCAUUUCUUCCUAGACAAUAAAAUAUACAAUUUACGUUGUCUGAUUUGUAAAAUGGAUAGGGAAAAAUUAAAGCUGAGAUGUAGCGGGAAAUAUCCCGCUCUUGCAAUUUAAGGAUGUCAUUUCUUCUCAGACAACAAAAUAUGCAAUUUAUGUUGUCUGAUUUGUAAAAUAAAUAGGAAAAAAAUUAAAGUUGAGAUGUAGCAGCGGGAGAUCUCCCACUCUUGCAAUUUAAGAAUGUCAUUCUCAGACAAUUAAAAUUUGGAGUUCUGUUGUAUGAUUUGGGAAACACUUAAUUAACUCAAAACCUAAAGCACUUGACACUUACAUAAAAAAUAAAAACCUAUCGCUUAAAACCUCUCUCUCACACACACACUCACACUCAAAACCGCUCAUUUUGUCGAGAGAGAAAGAGAGAGUUCGAGAGAGAAAAGGGCAGAGGAGCCGCUCCCCUUCUAGGCGUGCCUCCGCCGUUGGCCGAUCGGAGACCAUCACUCAACUCUCCUCUCUCUCUCCUCUACCUCCCCACACCCACAAAAUCGACAUCCAACCAUCCCCUUUCUCAAAUCGAAAAUCCAAACCCUAACCCCAAUUCUGAUUUCUGGCCAAAUCCUCUCUUUUCUGGCGAGCUCAAGCUUCUAAAAGGGAAACUGAUAUCUUUUCUUUCAAUUUCGAGCUCCCUUGAGCUUUGUUUUUCCGUUUGGGACCUAAUCCCUCUUGUCUUCUUCUUUUCUGGGUUCGUCUGCAACGUCGCCGUUGACGACUCUCCAGCCUUGCAUUCGAUUCUUCAAGGUAAUCCUUUCCUUCUCUCUCCAAUUCCAAUUUAGAUUGGGUAUCAUAUAGUGCACACCACAUGUUUGAUAGAAUGCCUCAUAGACACAACAAAGCUGAAGCAGUGGGCUUUUCCAUGAUUUUCGAAAAGUCUAUACUUCUUUGUUCAAUCUCAGUUUUUAACAGUUGAAAAUAGACUCUUCAAUGAUCGUUUUAAACUUGGUUUCAAGUAAAACGGAGUUGAUUUGAGAAACUUGUGCUAUUUUAAAAGUUCAUACAAUGUUUCAGAAUUUUCUGCAUAAACUGCAUUUUCAGUCACUUUGGGUCUCUAUUUGACCAUGUAUUUGAACUCCAAACGACUUAAAAUUUUGGGACAUUGUAGUUUUGCUUGUCUACUUUGAUUCUGGAGAUUUUCAGCUGAAAGUAUUAAAAAUUCCAUUGUUAAUGAAUUUUUCCCUCCUACUAUCUGUUAUUAGGAAAUUUCGCAAAUUGCAGCCUAGUGUUACAAAACAAUUGACUAUUAAUGUGUUCAAGAUUUUUGUUGGGAUGUACUUUUGACUAUUAGCUAGUAUUGGUAGGUUCUUUAGAAUGCUUGGAUCAGAAAUAGAGCAAUGAUCACAUAGUGCACACCACAUGUUUGAUAGAAUGCCUCACAGACACAACAAAACUGAAGCAGUGGGCUUUUCCAUGAUUUCCGAAAAGUCUAUACUUCUUUGUUCAAUCUCAGUUUUUAACAGUUGAAAAUAGACUCUUCAAUGAUCGUUUUAAACUUGGUUUCAAGCAAAACGGAGUUGAUUUGAGAAACUUGUGCUAUUUUAAAAAUUCAUACAGUGUUUCAGAAUUUUCUGCAGAAACUGCAUUUUCAGUCACUUUGGGUCUCUAUUUGACCAUGUAUUUGAACUCCAAACGACUUAAAAUUUUGGGACAUUGUAGUUUUGCUUGUCUACUUUGAUUCUGGAGAUUUUCAGCUGAAAGUAUUAAAAAGUCCAUUGUUAAUGAAUUUUUCUCUCCUACUAUCUGUUAUUAGGAAAUUUCACAAAUUGCAGCUUAGUGUUACAAAACAAUUGACUAUUAAUGUGUUCAAGAUUUUUGUUGGGAUGCACUUUUGACUAUUAGCUAGUAUUGGUAGGUUCUUUAGAAUGCUUGGAUCAGAAAUAGAGUAAUGAUCACAUAGUGCACACCACAUGUUUGAUAAUAUGUCUCAAAGACACCACCAAGCUGAAACCAGUGGGCUUUUCCAAGAUUUUCGAAAAGCUUAUACUUUUUCUUUUCAUCUCAGUUUUUAACAGUUAAAAAUAGACUCUUCAAUGAUCGUUUUAAACUUGGUUUCAAGCAAAACGGAGUUGAUUUGAGAAACUUGUGCUAUUUUGAAGUUCACAUAGUGUUUUAGAGUCUUAGUAAAGUUUACUGCAUUUUCAGUCACUUUGGAUCCCUAUUUGACUAUGCAUUUGAACUCCAAACGGCUUAUAAUUUUGGGACAUUGUUCCUUUGUUUGUCUGUUUUGAUUCUGAAAAUUUUCCCAUGAAAAUAUUGAAAGGUCAAUUGUUGGUGAAUUUUUCUUUCUUACUACCUGUUUUCUGAAAAUUUCUCAGAUUUGCAGCUCAUUGUUAUAAAACAAUGGAUUUGGGAUCCUUUACAUUCUUAUUUUUGUCAUUGAAAUUUAACAAGUUUAUCUAUGCAUAAAUCCUGUACUUUCAGUUCUAAAAGGGCAUGAAGGUUUCAUUCUUGACAAGCAUCACUUUUGCAUGUUCUUAUCAAUACUUCUUUUUUUUUUUUGAAAGAAAGUCAUUGAUGUAGGACGGAUGGCCGAAGAAAUCGAGGAACAAAUUGAUCGUUGCAGGUCCAAACCCAGUUUGCUGCAGAUUUGGCGUUCGGUGUCCGAAUGACUAUUAUUAUACCUUUCUGGAAGCGGAACUGCCCAACGAAUAAGACUCGCCGUUUCGUCACGACGUAUGGGCUUUUUCGGCCAUCCGAGUUUGUUUCGGACCUUAAAUCAGCGUUUUAUUAGUUUUUGGGAUUUUAUGUUUCCUAGUUCUUUUCGGAUUGUGUUUUGAUUCAAUCCUUGGGCUUUUAGGUUUGGUUGUUAGUCGCCCUAGGGUUUUGUUUUCCAUAUAUAAGCACCCUUUUGGGUAGCUGAGAGGCAGUUUAUUAAUUAUAAUUCAGAAUUUAAGAGUUUUACUCUUAGUCCUUGGCGCGCUCCAGGUUUUGGUCCUAUAGAGUUCUUCGCUUGAAGACUCUCCACAUAUUAGGGUUUAACGCUGGUUAGCCCCCAUACUCCUGCUGCGUCAAGUGGUAUCAGAGCCAGACGUUCCUGUCUCUUUUAUCCUUGAUCAUGGGUGACGCACCGAUUACUAGAGCAGACCGAGAAGGUAUCCUAGAAGGUGUUACUGCGAAUUUUACCGUAGCCCUUGCUACGUUGACUAAUCAGGUGAACGAAUUGAAGACUGAUAAUAACAAUAGGAAGCGUGGAGAAGGCAGAGCUAUUCCUCAACAUAGGGUUCCACGAGGGAGAGGAACCACAAUUGCUAGCAGCUCUGAGUCUGAUUCAGAAGAUGAAGUUGUUGAUCUGGCGCAAUUAGGGCAAGAUGAUAAGGAUUUCAGGAUGAAGGUUGAUAUCCCUUUCUUUAAUGGGAUGAUGAACGUGGAGGAAUUUCUGGAUUGGCAAAUUGAAGUGGACAGAUUCAUAGAGCAUAUGAAUGUCGCGGAACAUAAGCAAGUGAAGUUGGCGGCAGCUCGUCUCAAGAGCACUGCGGCAGUUUGGUGGGAUAAGUUGGCAUUGACGAGAUUGAGACAGAGAAAAAAACCCGUCAAGAAUUGGCGGAGGAUGAAACAGUUGAUGACAGAACGAUUCCUGCCAGAGGACUAUGAACAGAUUCUUUACAGGAUGUACCUAGAUUGUGUUCAAGGGGCGAAGACUGUAACAGAGUAUACCGUUGAGUUUGUGCGUCUUUCUGAGCGCAAUGACUUAGGCGAAUCUGAAGGGCAGAAGGUUGCUCGGUACAUCAGUGGGUUGAGACCUUCCAUACAAGAGAAGAUUGGCUUACAAACUAUGUGGUCUAUGACUGAGGCUGCAAGUUUGGCGAUAAAGGCGGAGCUGAUGGAGAGAUCCCCUAGAGUUUCUUUUCAGUUUCCAAGAUUCACUAGUCAGAGGAGUACUAAAGUCGGGAGUUCUGUUGGAGAUAAAGGGAAAACAAUGACGCAGAAUACGAGUGGAAUGACCACUAGGGCUUCUAGUGCUGUUAACAAAGAGGGUGGCGUUUCUGGUUUUGGCAGUACUAGCAGGGCAACUCGGGCAGCACCUGUGCAGCGACCUUUUAACCCUUAUACAAGGCCUUUCCCAGGUACUUGUUAUAGGUGUUUACAGCCUGGUCAUAGAUCCAACGAGUGUACUGCCCCUCCGAAGGUGGUUAAAGCAGUUCAGGCUUUAGUCGAGGCCUGUGAGGGGGAAGACGAGGCGGAGGAAGGAGGCGAUGACUAUGAAGGGGCUGAAUUUGCAGUGGAAGAUUCUCCAGAAAAGGUGAACAUUGUAUUGCAGAGAAUUCUGUUGUCUCCCAGGAAGGAGGACGGUCAAUGUAAGAACCUUUUCAGAUCGCAUUGUUCUGUCAACAACAAGGUGUGUAAUUUGAUUGUGGAUAAUGGGAGUUGUCGAAAACUUUGUUGCUGAAAAGUUAGGUAGAGUAUUUGCAGUUGCCAAAAGAGGCCCAUGUGAUGCCCUAUUCUCUGGGUUGGGUGAAGAAAGGUCCUCAAGUGCGUGUAACCAGAACCUGUAAAGUGUCUGUUUCGAUUGGUAAGCAUUAUAGGGAUGAAGUAGUUUGUGAUGUUCUGGACAUGGAUGCUUGUCAUAUUCUGUUUGGGCGCCCUUGGCAGUAUGAUGUUGAUGUUACUUACAGGGGUCGGGAUAAUGUGAUGUUGUUUAUGUGGGGUGAAUUUAAGAUUGCUAUGGCUCCUGUGGUGAACUUUGUCAAACCUGUAGAAAAGAAGAGGGAGAAUUUUCUAAUCUUGUCCAAGAAUGAACGAGAGAUAGAGGAAGACUUUAAGGAGUCAGAGUUGUGUUGUCCUGUGGUGAUUAAGGGGUUGUUUAGUGCAGAAAAAGAACCUGUGGAGAUCCCUGAAGAAGUACAACAGUUGCUUAAGGGAUUUGAGGAGUUGAUUUCUGAUGAGCUCCGAGAUAAAACUAUUGCCAGCUUGGAGAAACGGUAUUUUUGGCCCCAUUUGAGGAGGGAUGCCACGGCAAUUGUCCGGAAGUGCUAUGUUUGUCAGGUUUCUAAAGGUCAGUCUCAAAAUACUGGUCUUUAUACACCUUUACCUGUUCCUGAAGACAUUUGGCAGGAUCUUUCAAUGGAUUUUGUGCUGGGUUUGCCGCGUACACAGAGGGGAGCGGAUUCUGUAUUUGUGGUUGUUGACAGGUUUUCUAAGAUGUCGCACUUCAUUGCUUGUAAGAAGACCUCGGAUGCUACCCACAUAGCCAAGCUAUUUUUCAGGGAGGUCGUGCGUUUGCAUGGGGUUCCACGAUCUAUCACUUCUAACAGAGAUUCGAAAUUCCUUAGUCAUUUCUGGAUCACUUUGUGGCGGAUGUUUGGGACAGCUUUGAACAAGAGUAGCACUGCGCAUCCUCAGACUGAUGGGCAGACUGAGCUUACCAACCGAACUCUAGGUAAUAUGGUCAGGAGUGUAUGUGGAGACAAACUAAAAAGUUGGGAUAAUGCUUUGCCACAGGUGGAGUUUGCUUACAAUAGUGCUGUGCAUAGUGCUACUGGAAAAUCAUCUUUUUCAUUGGUGUAUACUGCUGUUCCAAAACAUGUGGUGGAUUUAGUCAAGCUGCCACGGGGUCAUGGUGUUAGUGUUGCUGUUGAAAAUAUGGCCAAGGAAGUGCAAAAAGUUCGUGAGUCAGUUAGGGCUAAACUGGAAGCCACUAAUGCAAAGAAUAAGGCUGCAGCUGACAAGCAUCGCCGGGUUAAGUUAUUCAAGGAAGGUGAUGACGUUAUGGUGUUUUUGCGGAAGGAGAGGUUUCCUGUUGGUACCUACAAUUAGCUGCAACCCAAGAAGUAUGGUCCUUUCAAGGUUCUACGGAAGAUCAAUGACAAUGCUUAUGUUGUUGCACUUCCUAAUUCUAUGUCCAUUUCCAAUACCUUUAAUGUGGCUGAUAUUUAUGAAUACCAUGCGGAUGAGGCUCUUUAUCCUGUUGAGAACUCGGGGUCGAGUUCUUCGGAGGUGGAGGAGACUGAUGUAGGACGGAUGGCCGAAGAAAUUGAGGAACAAAUUGAUCGUUGCAGGUCCAAACCCGGUUUGCUACAGAUUUGGCGUUUGGUGUCCGAAUGACUAUUAUUAUACCUUUCUGGAAGUGGAACGGCCCAACGAACAAGACUAGUCGCUUUGCCAUGACGUAUGGGCUUUUUCGGCCAUCCGAGUUUGUUUCGGACCUCAAAUCAGCGUUUUAUUAGUUUUUGGGAUUUUAUGUUUCCUAGUUCUUUUCGGAUUGUGUUUUGAUUCAAUCCUUGGGCUUUUAGGUUUGGUUGUUAGUCGCCCUAGGGUUUUGUUUUCCAUAUAUAAGCACCCUUUUGGGUAGCUGAGAGGCAGUUUAUCAAUUAUAA
Molecule: long non-coding RNA, 6382 nt
Filed under: Fragaria vesca (wild strawberry)
Lineage: Eukaryota; Viridiplantae; Streptophyta; Magnoliopsida; Rosales; Rosaceae
Description: long non-coding RNA (FVES_LNC002530)
Source: RNAcentral